UACGUAGGUGACCAGCGUUGUCCGGAUUUACUGGGCGUAAAGCGUGCGUAGGCGGAAGUUUAAGUGUGGCCUGAAAGCCCCCGGCUCAACCGGGGAGGGUGGCUGCAAACUGGGCUUCUUGAGGGCGAUAGAGGAGAGUGGAAUUCCGGGUGUAGCGGUGAAAUGCGUAGAUAUCCGGAGGAACACCAGUGGCGCAGGCGGCUCUCUGGGUCGGCCCUGACGCUGAGGCACGAAAGCGUGGGGAGCGAACGGG
This 253-nucleotide ribosomal RNA is filed under the name uncultured bacterium. RNAcentral describes it as "partial 16S ribosomal RNA". It matches the Rfam family "Bacterial small subunit ribosomal RNA", at positions 524 to 776 of the family's 1533-position model. The record is from RNAcentral.